UUGCACGCAGGCGAUGGAACCCGCCCGGAAACCCGUUUUCCGAACCGCAUUACCGCUGAUAGUUCCUACACGAUC
Molecule: non-coding RNA, 75 nt
Filed under: Bifidobacterium stellenboschense
Lineage: Bacteria; Bacillati; Actinomycetota; Actinomycetes; Bifidobacteriales; Bifidobacteriaceae
Description: Fluoride sequence
Rfam family: Fluoride riboswitch aptamer (crcB RNA motif)
Source: Rfam by way of RNAcentral